AUUGAACGCUGGCGGCAUGCCUUACACAUGCAAGUCGAACGGUAACAGGUCUUCGGAUGCUGACGAGUGGCGAACGGGUGAGUAAUACAUCGGAACGUGCCCGAUCGUGGGGGAUAACGAAGCGAAAGCUUUGCUAAUACCGCAUAAGAUCUACGGAUGAAAGCAGGGGACCGCAAGGCCUUGCGCGAACGGAGCGGCCGAUGGCAGAUUAGGUAGUUGGUGGGAUAAAAGCUUACCAAGCCGACGAUCUGUAGCUGGUCUGAGAGGACGACCAGCCACACUGGGACUGAGACACGGCCCAGACUCCUACGGGAGGCAGCAGUGGGGAAUUUUGGAUAAUGGGCGAAAGCCUGAUCCAGCCAUGCCGCGUGCAGGAUGAAGGCCUUCGGGUUGUAAACUGCUUUUGUACGGAACGAAAAGACUCUGGUUAAUACCUGGGGUCCAUGACGGUACCGUAAGAAUAAGCACCGGCUAACUACGUG
Molecule: ribosomal RNA, 482 nt
Filed under: uncultured bacterium
Lineage: Bacteria
Description: partial 16S ribosomal RNA
Rfam family: Bacterial small subunit ribosomal RNA
Source: RNAcentral